RNAcentral lists this ribosomal RNA (253 nucleotides) under uncultured bacterium. Its description in RNAcentral is "partial 16S ribosomal RNA". It matches the Rfam family "Bacterial small subunit ribosomal RNA", at positions 524 to 776 of the family's 1533-position model. The record is from RNAcentral.
UACAGAGGGUGCGAGCGUUAAUCGGAAUUACUGGGCGUAAAGCGCACGUAGGCGGACUGUUAAGUCGGGGGUGAAAUCCUGGGGCUCAACCUCAGAAUUGCCUCCGAUACUGGCAGUCUCGAGUGCGGGAGAGGUGAGUGGAAUUCCCAGUGUAGAGGUGAAAUUCGUAGAUAUUGGGAAGAACACCAGUGGCGAAGGCGGCUCACUGGCCCGUAACUGACGCUGAGGUGCGAAAGCGUGGGGAGCAAACAGG